UACGGGGGGGGCAAGCGUUGUUCGGAAUUACUGGGCGUAAAGGGCUCGUAGGCGGCCAACUAAGUCAGACGUGAAAUCCCUCGGCUUAACCGGGGAACUGCGUCUGAUACUGGAUGGCUAGAGUUUGGGAGAGGGAUGCGGAAUUCCAGGUGUAGCGGUGAAAUGCGUAGAUAUCUGGAGGAACACCGGUGGCGAAGGCGGCAUCCUGGACCAACACUGACGCUGAGGAGCGAAAGCGUGGGGAGCGAACAGG
RNAcentral lists this ribosomal RNA (253 nucleotides) under uncultured bacterium. Its description in RNAcentral is "partial 16S ribosomal RNA". It matches the Rfam family "Bacterial small subunit ribosomal RNA", at positions 524 to 776 of the family's 1533-position model. The record is from RNAcentral.